ACUAAAAACACCUUUAAUUAUAUAAAAAUUCCCUAAGAAGAAAGGAAUGAAGAAGGAACUUGAGCAUAUCCCAUCGUUUAAUCUACAACGAGGAUGUUAAUUUUGUUUAUUUAUUGUUCGUUAAGGGGUCAAAAAAUCUCAGGAAAAAAUAAUGUUUCUUAGAGUCAUUAUGAAAGACGUAAUUGGGUUAAGG
Onthophagus taurus is the source of this 193-nucleotide non-coding RNA. The record is from RefSeq and is a predicted model, not a curated record. Lineage: Eukaryota; Metazoa; Arthropoda; Insecta; Coleoptera; Scarabaeidae.